CUCUGACCUCCACCUUCAUCCUGAUCGUCUCCUAAAAGGUCGUAUCCUCCGAUCGUAGCUGAUCGUAAACAUUCAAGUUAACGUGUCAAUUUACACCGACUUCUUUUCAAAAUAAAACAUCCGGCUUCUUUUCAAAAUAAAACACUCCGUGUUUCAGGAGGAUCGUAUUUCACACCAUGCAAACGGGCGGAGACGAACAAGUGAAAGGUUUUUAGACGUCAUUUCACCCCGAUGACACCAUGGAUGAGGAGAUGCUGAUUCUAGAAGUCUAGAAGUAGAUUUCCUCCUCUGGAAGGACACA
This is a non-coding RNA of Xyrichtys novacula (pearly razorfish), 301 nucleotides long. Lineage: Eukaryota; Metazoa; Chordata; Actinopteri; Labriformes; Labridae. The record is from the annotation of a GenBank genome assembly.